Molecule: ribosomal RNA, 467 nt
Filed under: uncultured bacterium
Lineage: Bacteria
Description: bacterial SSU rRNA
Rfam family: Bacterial small subunit ribosomal RNA
Source: RNAcentral
AUUAGAGUUUGAUCCUGGCUCAGGACGAAGCUGGCGGCGUGCCUAAUACAUGCAAGUCGAGCGGACUGAUGGGAGCUUGCUCCCUAAAGUCAGCGGCGGACGGGUGAGUAACACGUGGGCAACCUGCCUGUAAGACUGGGAUAACUUCGGGAAACCGGGAGCUAAUACCGGAUAACACCAAGGACCUCAUGGUCCUUGGUUGAAAGAUGGCUUCGGCUAUCACUUACAGAUGGGCCCGCGGCGCAUUAGCUAGUUGGUGAGGUAACGGCUCACCAAGGCGACGAUGCUAGCCGACCUGAGAGGGUGAUCGGCCACACUGGGACUGAGACACGGCCCAGACUCCUACGGGAGGCAGCAGUAGGGAAUCUUCCGCAAUGGACGAAAGUCUGACGGAGCAACGCCGCGUGAGCGAUGAAGGCCUUCGGGUCGUAGCACUGUUGUUAGGGAAGAACAAGUACCGUUCGAAU